RNAcentral lists this ribosomal RNA (303 nucleotides) under uncultured bacterium. RNAcentral describes it as "partial 16S ribosomal RNA". It matches the Rfam family "Bacterial small subunit ribosomal RNA", at positions 507 to 807 of the family's 1533-position model. The record is from RNAcentral.
AGCAGUCGCCGCGGGAAUACGAAGGGUGCAAGCGUUAAUCGGAAUUACUGGGCGUAAAGCGUGCGUAGGCGGUUUGUUAAGUCUGCUGUGAAAUCCCCGGGCUCAACCUGGGAAUGGCAGUGGAUACUGGCAAGCUAGAGUGUGUCAGAGGAUGGUGGAAUUCCAGGUGUAGCGGUGAAAUGCGUAGAGAUCGGGAGGAACAUCAGUGGCGAAGGCGGCCAUCUGGGACAACACUGACGCUGAGGCACGAAAGCGUGGGGAGCAAACAGGAUUAGAUACCCCUGUAGUCCCUGUCUCUUAUAC